Molecule: ribosomal RNA, 183 nt
Filed under: uncultured bacterium
Lineage: Bacteria
Description: partial 16S ribosomal RNA
Rfam family: Bacterial small subunit ribosomal RNA
Source: RNAcentral
UAGGGAAUUUUCGUCAAUGGGCGCAAGCCUGAACGAGCAAUGCCGCGUGAACGAGGAAGGUCUUCGGAUCGUAAAGUUCUGUUGAAGGGGAAAAAGAGCGGAGAGAGGAAAUGGUCUCCGAUUGAUAUUACCCUUCGAGGAAGUCACGGCUAACUACGUGCCAGCAGCCGCGUAAUCUGCUCU